GGCACCAUAGUUGAAUAACAACAUUAAAUUGCAAAUUUAAAGGAGUACUUAGAUACUAGUGCCU
Molecule: transfer RNA, 64 nt
Filed under: Duplodicodrilus schmardae
Lineage: Eukaryota; Metazoa; Annelida; Clitellata; Crassiclitellata; Megascolecidae
Description: tRNA-Cys
Source: RNAcentral